This 445-nucleotide ribosomal RNA is filed under the name uncultured bacterium. RNAcentral describes it as "bacterial SSU rRNA". It matches the Rfam family "Bacterial small subunit ribosomal RNA", at positions 354 to 796 of the family's 1533-position model. The record is from RNAcentral.
GUGGGGAAUAUUGCGCAAUGGAGGCAACUCUGACGCAGCCAUGCCGCGUGCAGGAAGAAGGCGCUACGCGUUGUAAACUGCUUUUAACCGGGAAGAAACCCCAGGACGUGUCCUGGGUUGACGGUACCGGAGGAAUAAGCACCGGCUAACUUCGUGCCAGCAGCCGCGGUAAUACGAAGGGUGCAAGCGUUAUCCGGAUUCAUUGGGUUUAAAGGGUGCGUAGGCGGAGCGUUAAGUCAGUGGUGAAAUCCUGCAGCUUAACUGUAGACUUGCCAUUGAUACUGGCGCUCUUGAGUGCGCUUGAAGUGGGCGGAAUGUGCCGUGUAGCGGUGAAAUGCUUAGAUAUGGCACAGAACACCAAUUGCGAAGGCAGCUCACUAAGGCGAUACUGACGCUGAGGCACGAAAGCGUGGGGAUCGAACAGGAUUAGAAACCCUGGUAGUCC